UACGGAGGGUGCAAGCGUUGUCCGGAUUUAUUGGGUUUAAAGGGUGCGUAGGUGGUUUAUUAAGUCAGUGGUGAAAGACGGUCGCUUAACGAUUGCAGUGCCAUUGAUACUGAUAGACUUGAGUUUUGUAGAGGUAGGCGGAAUUGAUAGUGUAGCGGUGAAAUGCAUAGAUAUUAUCAAGAACUCCGAUAGCGAAGGCAGCUUACUUAGCAAAGACUGACACUGAUGCACGAAAGUGUGGGUAUCAAACAGG
This 253-nucleotide ribosomal RNA is filed under the name uncultured bacterium. RNAcentral describes it as "partial 16S ribosomal RNA". It matches the Rfam family "Bacterial small subunit ribosomal RNA", at positions 524 to 776 of the family's 1533-position model. The record is from RNAcentral.